Long non-coding RNA from Musa acuminata AAA Group (dessert banana), 483 nucleotides. RefSeq lists it as uncharacterized. The record is from RefSeq and is a predicted model, not a curated record. NCBI's taxonomy places the organism in Eukaryota, Viridiplantae, Streptophyta, Magnoliopsida, Zingiberales, Musaceae. The transcript is spliced from 3 exons.
GAGUCUUCCAUGCCGCGGCCUCACUAACCCGUUGAGCACAAGGGCUCGGUGAUUCCGCAGUACACUGCCUCCCCUGCGACAGGUAGUAGAUUAGCAGCGCCGCUUUCACUUGUUUCCACCACAUUGGAGAGAAAGAGGAGAAGCAUUGGAUUCUUGCAAGAACAGGGGAGAUGGAUAUGGUGGCUGAUGAACGUCGUCACAUUAGAGCCGGGUUCAUUCUCUAUGCUUUGGAAGAAAACUGAUGGCGCUCACAAGUGCUCUUUGCUGGAACCUCCACUUCUGAGGAAUCUUCUUUGCAUUAUGAUAUAUAGUUGCUAUGCAACAACCUGUAAUAAUAUGAUGUAUGGAGUAUGGACCCAUGGCAAACUUCUCUUCUCAUUUAAUGGUGGUCCAUCAUAAGUGAUGUCUACUUUGGUAGAAUCCAUCUUAUUUUUGUGGUCUGUUGUGAUUUAGCAUUAAAAAGACUCACUUUUCCCCAAUUCA